AGCCCCAGAAACAGGCGACAAUUUCACCCUAGGCGCUGCCGCGAUCGUGGGUGAACUGGGUUCUCUUGCCGGAGGACUGAUCGGCGGAGUCUGCGCAUGGUUAUUCGCAAGGAAAAUUGGCGGGAUCAAAGAUCCCCCACAAUCCCAGUACGACACGAGCAUCGAUUCCGGACGGAACAGCACCUUGGAUACAAACACCGUGAACUCAUCGGGAACCUAUGAAAAUCUCUCAAGGGAUGAACAGGGCGCAAGGCACAAUGCACAAGAUGGAAACUCCACUUACACGGGACUGGUUCUGGGGGAUCGAUCUGUUUACAGUGAUCUGAAGAGAUGACGUCACUGUUGAAUAGAAGAGGACGGUUGGCCGGGAAUUCACACAUGAGAAAGACAACCAUCGUGGAAGAAGCCACCGUGCCAC
Molecule: long non-coding RNA, 418 nt
Organism: Hypanus sabinus (Atlantic stingray)
Lineage: Eukaryota; Metazoa; Chordata; Chondrichthyes; Myliobatiformes; Dasyatidae
Exons: 6
Source: RefSeq, a predicted model, not a curated record